GGACUUUUAUUAUACGAGUAUCGGAUGCGGAACGUUAGCCCCGAGGAUUCGGGGCCGACGCGUCAGACGCGGUGUCGGACAGUACCGAAAUUACAGACUACGGUCCGGGGUCGACCGGACAAAACGCUCUAGUGACUAUAUUAUAUUCCUCGGGUCACUGGCGCGCAUUUGUAUACCGAAUGUUCCGCAAGUCUAUGUAGGUAUAAUAGGUGCAAUAAUAUUACAUUAUGGGAUACCGCGGGCGGUGAUAAUACGGCCCCGGUCUUGGACGGAUUCUGAUAUGGGCAAUAAUAUUAU
Molecule: non-coding RNA, 297 nt
Organism: Cinara cedri
Lineage: Eukaryota; Metazoa; Arthropoda; Insecta; Hemiptera; Aphididae
Source: the annotation of a GenBank genome assembly